Molecule: long non-coding RNA, 498 nt
Organism: Macrobrachium nipponense
Lineage: Eukaryota; Metazoa; Arthropoda; Malacostraca; Decapoda; Palaemonidae
Exons: 5
Source: RefSeq, a predicted model, not a curated record
AGGGCAGUUUGUUUGAGACAGUUAUCUUCUAUAAAAUCUAUAGACAAGACAGUUUGUUUGAGACAGUUAUCUACUAUAAAAUCUAUAGACAGGACAGUUUGUUUGAGACAGUUAUCUACUAUAAAAUCUAUAGACAGAUUCUCUCAUGAUUGGCCAUAAGGAUUUAGACCUGAAGGAAAAGUGAAAGACGGAGGGAGACAAGAUUCGAAGAAGUCCAACUGUUAAAUAUGAGAUCGAAAGGAACAGCGAUGGAUUGUCAAGUGCAAAGAGCAAUACAACAAGCCCAAUAGAAUCUUCGAGAAGCCUUUGGUUCCCGCAGUCGGCAGUUGAUACCAUGAUUUAAACAGAUUGGUCCUCGUUCAAGCUACGAUUGGCAGUACAGAUAGUCGGGCUCAGACUGCCUUUCGUCCCGGAAAAACUCUGGGAGUGUCUUGACAUCGGUUGAUGAGAUAUUUGAAACACCCGAAGUCAGAAAAGCAUAACUCAUUCACCUGUUCA